AUACGGAGGGUGCAAGCGUUACUCGGAAUCACUGGGCGUAAAGCGCGCGCAGGCGGGCUGAUAAGUGGGAUGUGAAAGCCUACGGCUCAACCGUAGAACUGCAUCCAAAACUGUCAAGCUAGAGUCUGGGAGGGGAAGAUGGAAUUAGUUGUGUAGGGGUAAAAUCCGUAGAGAUAACUAGGAAUACCAAAAGCGAAGGCGAUCUUCUGGAACAGUACUGACGCUGAGGCGCGAAAGCGUGGGGAGCAAACAGGAUUAGAAACCCCUGUAGUCC
Molecule: ribosomal RNA, 274 nt
Filed under: uncultured bacterium
Lineage: Bacteria
Description: partial 16S ribosomal RNA
Rfam family: Bacterial small subunit ribosomal RNA
Source: RNAcentral